UGUUAAAAAUUCCAUGCACUUCUACUAGUAAAAAUUGGUAUAGCUGACGGAAUAGUAAGAUAGGUACACGUGCGCCAUGCCAAUGUAUAGAGACUAGUUUUUAACAAUAGAAAUUGAUGAAAAUUUUAAUA
Gossypium hirsutum (cotton) is the source of this 131-nucleotide non-coding RNA. NCBI's taxonomy places the organism in Eukaryota, Viridiplantae, Streptophyta, Magnoliopsida, Malvales, Malvaceae. The record is from Rfam.